RNAcentral lists this ribosomal RNA (432 nucleotides) under uncultured bacterium. RNAcentral describes it as "partial 16S ribosomal RNA". It matches the Rfam family "Bacterial small subunit ribosomal RNA", at positions 29 to 506 of the family's 1533-position model. The record is from RNAcentral.
AGCGAACGCUGGCGGCAGGCCUAACACAUGCAAGUCGAACGAACUCUUCGGAGUUGGUCGCGGACGGGUGAGGAACACGUGGGAACGUGCCGUUUGGGUCGGUAUAACGCAGGGAAACUUGUGCUAAUAUCGAAUGUGCCCUUCGGGGGAAAGAUUUAUCGCCAUUAGAGUGGCCCGCGUCUGAUUCGCUAGUUGGAAAGGUAAGGGCUCACAAAGUGGACGAUCAGUAGCUGGUCUGAGAGGAUGACCAGCAAAAUUGAGAUUGGGACACGGCCCAACUCCCUACGGGAGGAGGAAGUGGGGAAACUGGCGCAAUGGGCGAAAGCCGGAGGCAGCAAGGCCGGGGGAAUGAUGAAGGUCUUAGGAUUGUAAAAUUCUUUCACCGGGGACGUUAAGGACGGUACCCGAGGAAGAAGCCCGGGCUAACAUCGU